This 497-nucleotide ribosomal RNA is filed under the name uncultured bacterium. RNAcentral's name for it is "bacterial SSU rRNA". It matches the Rfam family "Bacterial small subunit ribosomal RNA", at positions 29 to 507 of the family's 1533-position model. The record is from RNAcentral.
ACGAACGCUGGCGGCGUGCCUAAUACAUGCAAGUCGAGCGGAAUGAUGAAGAAGCUUGCUUCUUCUGAUUUUAGCGGCGGACGGGUGAGUAACACGUGGGCAACCUACCUUGUAGAUUGGGAUAACUCCGGGAAACCGGGGCUAAUACCGAAUAAUCCAUUUUGCUUCAUGGCGAGAUGUUGAAAGACGGUUUCGGCUGUCACUACGAGAUGGGCCCGCGGCGCAUUAGCUAGUUGGUAGGGUAAUGGCCUACCAAGGCGACGAUGCGUAGCCGACCUGAGAGGGUGAUCGGCCACACUGGGACUGAGACACGGCCCAGACUCCUACGGGAGGCAGCAGUGGGAAUCUUAGACAAUGGGGCAACCCUGAUCUAGCCAUGCCGCGUGAGUGAAGAAGGUUUUCGGAUCGUAAAACUCUGUUGUUAGGGAAGAACACGUACGAGAGUAACUGCUCGUACCUUGACGGUGCCUAACCAGAAAGCCACGGCUAACUACGUG